Molecule: transfer RNA, 71 nt
Filed under: Loxodonta africana (African savanna elephant)
Lineage: Eukaryota; Metazoa; Chordata; Mammalia; Proboscidea; Elephantidae
Rfam family: tRNA
About the family: Transfer RNA (tRNA) molecules are approximately 80 nucleotides in length. Their secondary structure includes four short double-helical elements and three loops (D, anti-codon, and T loops).
Source: Rfam by way of RNAcentral
GCAUUGAUUGUUAAGUGGUAAAAUUUUUGCUUUCUAUGGGAAAGAUGUGGGUUUAAUUCCCAGACAAUGCA